RNAcentral lists this non-coding RNA (52 nucleotides) under unclassified sequences. RNAcentral's name for it is "6A RNA". It matches the Rfam family "6A RNA". From Rfam's summary of the family: Actinobacteria (1 example), Firmicutes, Fusobacteria. Terminator (Clostridia) The record is from Rfam by way of RNAcentral.
UGAUUUGGUCGUAGAGCCACGACCAAGGAAAAAUAAAGAAAGCUCACUGAGA